AGAGCCGGAUCCACACCACCAUCCAAUUCACCUCAAUGAUGCUCGACACAAAGUCUAGCUUGCACCUCUCCAUGGCCAGAAGCUGGCCAACCAUUAACCUCGACCCAUUCUCUAGAGCUACAGUUCGGUCAGCCUCAUUCUUAAAAUAAAGGGGUGUGGUGCUCCUUCGUCAUUGGGAAUGCCUUGACCUCAUAGUCAAUCUUCUCCUUAGAUGCAGCUCCCAGGCGA
Molecule: long non-coding RNA, 228 nt
Filed under: Phoenix dactylifera (date palm)
Lineage: Eukaryota; Viridiplantae; Streptophyta; Magnoliopsida; Arecales; Arecaceae
Description: long non-coding RNA (PDAC_LNC010012)
Source: RNAcentral